AUGCGCCAGCACGCCCCCGCCUACACGCCGGAGGCGGCCUCCGCGUCGGCCACGGGUGGCGCGGGCGAGCGGCACAGCCUGCCGGCGCUGCAGGCCAAGAUGAAGCGCGACCCGGAGGGGUACGAGACGGAGCUCCGCCAGCUGCAGCGCCACUUCGAGUCCUCGGUGUUCCUCUUCCGGCAGCAGGCGGCGCUGUCGUCGUCCUCCUCGGGCGGCGGCGGCGGGGAGACGGCCAAGGAGCUCGGCGACCUUGCGCUCUUCCUCGCCCACGUCGCGCCCUUCUACCCCAACGACCUCGCCGACCUGCCCGACCACAUCGGGGGCCUGCUCGACACCAACGCCCGCGCGCUGCCGUCCGGCCUCCGGGUGCACCUCGUGCAGGCACUCAUACUGCUGGUCAAUCGGAAGAUUGUUGAUCUGGAAGACACCAUGGAGUUAUUUAUGGAGCUUCAAGUCAUUGGAGACCGAGCAGUAAAAAAGCUUGCAUUUUCACAUAUUGUACACAGCAUCAGAAGGAUGAAUCAGAAGCACAAGAAUGAAGCCAAGAAUCGUAAACUGCAAGGCAUCCUUUUUAAAUUAGUACAGGGCGAGGAAGAGUCGAGAGCAAAGAGGGCUUUUACUAUCCUAUGUGAUCUUCACCGUCGAAGGGUCUGGUUUGAUGACCGCACAGCAAAUGCUAUAUGCGAUGCUUGUUUCCAUCCCUCUUCGAGGCUUAUGACAGCUGCUAUUUCAUUACUCAUUGGGUAUGAAAAUGUUGAGCAAGAGGAUGAUAGUGAUGCCAGUAGUGAAGAUGAAGCAAGUCAAAACCCAAAUAUUAUACUUAGUAAAGAAGAUGUCUACAAGGCAAAUCACAAGGGUACCUCUGCUAGUAAGAAAAAGAAGAAAGCUAAAUUGGAGCGUGUAGUUCGUAGUAUGAAAAGGCAACAACGUAAAUCCAAUGAGGAGACUGGCUCCAAUUACUAUUCGCCCCUUACGUAUUUAAAGGAUCCCCAGGGUUUUGCAGAGAAACUCUUCUCUCGGCUACAGAAAUGCAAUGAACGAUUUGAGGUAAGGAUGAUGAUGUUGAAGGUCAUAGCAAGGACUAUUGGCCUGCAUCACUUGGUUUUGUUGAACUUCUAUCCAUAUCUUCAAAGAUAUGUUCAACCUCACCAACGAGAUGUGACUACUCUACUUGCUGCAGCAGUACAGGCUUGCCAUGAGAUGGUGCCUCCUGAUGCUGUUGAACCGCUGUUCAAGCAGAUAGUAAAUCAAUUUGUGCAUGAUCGUUCCCGUCCGGAGGCUAUUGCUGUUGGCCUGAAUGUUGUGAGAGAGAUCUGCAUGCGAAUUCCUUUGAUGAUGAAUGAGGAUCUACUCCAAGACCUUGUUUUAUAUAAGAAGUCCCACGAGAAAGCUGUUUCUAUUGCCGCUCGCUCACUUAUCACAUUAUUCAGGGAGAUCUGUCCUUCAUUGUUAGUCAAGAAAGAUCGUGGCCGUCCUAUUGAUCCAACUGCUCGGCCAAAAGCAUUUGGAGAAACCACUAUUGCUAGUGAUGUGCCUGGAGCUGAGUUGCUAGAUGAAGAGAUGUCACCAGAGGGGGGUUCAGACGAUGAGUCUGAUGCUUUUGAUUCCGAUGACGAGGAAGUGUUGCCAUCUGCGAGUGGUACCCGGCAAAGUUUGGAGAGUUUAUCAAACAAGCUUGAUGCUAGUGAAGAUCAUGAAGAUGAAGUAUCUGGGGAACAAGAUGAUGCAGAGGAACUAGACGAGGAUGUUGAAGACAGUGAUGAGGGGGAUAAAUCAAAGGGCAGCGGUUCCAAGGUGCAGAAGAGAAAGUUAAGUGAUUAUAUUGGACAACUUGAUGCUGCAGAUGCAAGCCUUCGAGCUCUGAAGAAGUUAGCAGGAGCUAAGAAGGCUGAAGCCUCAACAGAUGAAGCUGGCAGAAUUUUCGGCGAUGAAGAUUUUAAGCGCAUAAAAGAGCUCAAGGCAAAGAAAGCAGCAAAGUUGGCUUUGGUUCAACAUGGGCUCAGCAAGGGUGACACAAGAUCAGUGACCUUCAAACUUCCUUCUACUGAUGAGCUUAGCUUGAAGCGCGUUGAUCCAUCGGAGCUCGCGGCUCACGUCAAGAGAAAGAUGACCAAGGAAGAGAGAUUAGAGAUGGUGAAAGCUGGAAGGGAGGAUAGAGGAAAAUACCAAGCAAGAGCAGCUAUUAAACAGAAAAAGACGGGUGGCUCGAGCAAUAAGCAGAAACAGCACCAGAAGAGGAUGCCUCUGGCGGCAAAGAGAGCAAAGGCAGCGCGUUCUCGCCAGGAGAAGAAGACCAAAGCGAAGCACUCAGGAAAGCAGUUCAGGGGACGGAAGGCCUGGAAAUAA
This 2346-nucleotide ribosomal RNA is filed under the name Triticum aestivum (bread wheat). RNAcentral describes it as "partial small subunit ribosomal RNA". The record is from RNAcentral. Lineage: Eukaryota; Viridiplantae; Streptophyta; Magnoliopsida; Poales; Poaceae.